GGGGGGGAGGGAGGGGGCCCCGAGGCGCCGCUCUCCGGCGGCGCCCUCGCGGGUGGCGGACUCGCCGCUGCCCCGUGUCGGUCCCCCACGCGUUCGUGUCGUCCCCUCCGCCGUCUGCAGCGCUUAGCGUGUGUUUUUACCUAGAGUUUACGUUUUCCGUGUGGCUGCGGGGAGGGGACCCGUUCUUCCUCCCUCGGGCUGAAGAGUCACGUUGCUUUUUCCUCAGGCAUCCACUUCUCCCGAGAGUUGGAGAAUCAACUCAGCCUGUUGACUUCACUGUCAUCAGCUAG
This 290-nucleotide long non-coding RNA is filed under the name Struthio camelus australis. Its description in RNAcentral is "lncRNA (ENSSCUG00000013632.1)". The record is from RNAcentral. Lineage: Eukaryota; Metazoa; Chordata; Aves; Struthioniformes; Struthionidae.